Molecule: ribosomal RNA, 253 nt
Filed under: uncultured bacterium
Lineage: Bacteria
Description: partial 16S ribosomal RNA
Rfam family: Bacterial small subunit ribosomal RNA
Source: RNAcentral
UACGGAGGGUGCGAGCGUUGUCCGGAAUCAUUGGGCGUAAAGGGCGCGUAGGUGGCCCGGUCAGUCCGUGGUGAAAGCGCGGGGCUCAACCCCGCGUCGGCCAUGGAUACUGCUGGGCUGGAGCACUGUAGAGGCAGGCGGAAUUCCGGGUGUAGCGGUGGAAUGCGUAGAGAUCCGGAAGAACACCAGCGGCGAAGGCGGCGCUCUGGGCCGGUACUGACACUGAGGAGCGAAAGCGUGGGUAGCAAACAGG